CUCUUGAUUAUUAUCCACUUCUAUAGGAAGAAGCGACAUUUAUUUCUUUUCCAAGAUAUUUACUAUCUUAUAUGGCUUAAAAAGAGAUAUAUGGAAUAUGAGAUGGAUCUUUAUAGACUUCAAUAGAUAUAAUCAAUAAGCAAGAAGAUUGAUUUAUUCACUAAUAAGAAAAGAUUCAAGUCUACUAUAGUCCAACUUAUUACAAAGAAAAGUAGUCUUAAUAUUACAACAAAGUAAUCAUAUCUUGUCACCCAUGCUAAAUUAUGAUUAUUCUUUGUAAUAGGCAUCUACAAUAAUCUUUUGUUAUUUUUGAAUUUUCUUUAACUGUACCUUUAUUGUUGUAUGUAGCUUUGACAAA
Molecule: long non-coding RNA, 358 nt
Filed under: Physcomitrium patens
Lineage: Eukaryota; Viridiplantae; Streptophyta; Bryopsida; Funariales; Funariaceae
Description: long non-coding RNA (PPAT_LNC012335)
Source: RNAcentral